GACGAACGCUGGCGGCGUGCCUAAUACAUGCAAGUCGAGCGAACGGACGAGAAGCUUGCUGCUCUGAUGUUAGCGGCGGACGGGUGGGUAACACGAGGAUAAUAUACUUAUCAGACUGGGAUAACAACGGGAAACCGGAGCUAAUACCGGAGAAUAUUUUGAACCGCAUGGAUCAUAAGUGAAAGACGGUUUUGGUGUCACUUAUGGAUGGAUCCGCGCUGCAUUAGCUAGUUGGUAAGGUAACGGCGUACCAAGGCAGCGAUGCAUAGCCGACCUGAGAGGGUGGUCGGCCGCCCUGGAGCUGAUGCACGGCCCCGACUCCUACGGGAGGCAGCAGUAGGGAAUCUUCCGCAAUGGGCGGAAGCCUGACGGUGCAGCGCCGCGUGAGUGGUGAUGGUCUUCGGCUCGUAGAGCUCUGUUAUUGGGGGAGAACAUAUGUGUAAGUAUCUGUGCGCAUCUUGACGGUACCUAGUCAGAAAGCCCCGGCUAACUACGUG
RNAcentral lists this ribosomal RNA (497 nucleotides) under uncultured bacterium. RNAcentral's name for it is "partial 16S ribosomal RNA". It matches the Rfam family "Bacterial small subunit ribosomal RNA", at positions 28 to 507 of the family's 1533-position model. The record is from RNAcentral.